Molecule: ribosomal RNA, 208 nt
Filed under: uncultured bacterium
Lineage: Bacteria
Description: partial 16S ribosomal RNA
Rfam family: Bacterial small subunit ribosomal RNA
Source: RNAcentral
CUCGUAGGCGGCCAACUAAGUCGGAUGUGAAAUCCCCAGGCUUAACCUGGGAACUGCAUCCGAUACUGGAUGGCUUGAAUUCGGGAGAGGGAUGCAGAAUUCCAGGUGUAGCGGUGAAAUGCGUAGAUAUCUGGAGGAAUACCGGUGGCGAAGGCGGCAUCCUGGACCGAGAUUGACGCUGAUGAGCGAAAGCUAAGGGGAGCAAACG